Molecule: ribosomal RNA, 421 nt
Filed under: Fusobacteriota bacterium
Lineage: Bacteria; Fusobacteriati; Fusobacteriota
Description: Fusobacteria bacterium partial 16S ribosomal RNA
Rfam family: Bacterial small subunit ribosomal RNA
Source: RNAcentral
UGGGGAAUUUUGCACAAUGGGGGGAACCUUGAUGCAGCGACGCCGCGUGAGGGAUGGAGGCCUUCGGGUUGUGAACCUCUUUCGCUCGUGUGCAAGCCGCUAUUUGGGUAGUGGUGAGUGUAGCGGGUAAAGAAGCGCCGGCUAACUACGUGCCAGCAGCCGCGGUAAUACGUAGGGCGCGAGCGUUGUCCGGAUUUGUUGGGCGUAAAGGGCUUGUAGGCGGUUUGCCGCGCCUGUCGUGUAAUCCUCUGGCUUAACUGGGGGUGUGCGGUGGGUACGGGCAGGCUUGAGUGCGGUAGGGGAGGUUGGAAUUCCUGGUGUAGCGGUGGAAUGCGCAGAUAUCAGGAGGAACACCGGUGGCGAAGGCGGGUCUCUGGGCCGUUACUGACGCUGAGGAGCGAAAGCGUGGGGAGCGAACAGG